UGGAGGGCAAGUCUGGUGCCAGCAGCCGCGGUAAUUCCAGCUCCAAUAGCGUAUAUUAAAGUUGUUGCGGUUAAAAAGCUCGUAGUUGAAUCUGUGUGUCACAGUGUCGGUUCACCGCUCGCGGUGCUUAACUGGCAUUAUGUGGUACGUCCUACCGGUGGGCUUAGCUCCUUGCGGGCGGUCCAACUAAUCUCCCAUCGCGGUGCUCUUCACUGAGUGUCGAGUUGGGCCGGUACAUUUACUUUGAACAAAUUAGAGUGCUCAAAGCAGGCUACCUUCGCCUGAAUAAUGUGUGCAUGGAAUAAUGAAAUAGGACCUCGGUUCUAUUUUGUUGGUUUUCGGAACCCCGAGGUAAUGAUUAAUAGGGACAGAUGGGGGCAUUCGUAUUGCGACGUUAGAGGUGAAAUUCUUGGAUCGUCGCAAGACGGACUAAAGCGAAAGCAUUUGCCAAAAAUGUUUUCAUUAAUCAAGAACGAAAGUUAGAGGUUCGAAGGCGAUCAGAUACCGCCCUAGUUCUAACCAUAAACGAUGCCAACUAGCGAUCCGCCGAAGUUCCUCCGAUGACUCGGCGGGCAGCUUCCGGGAAACCAAAGCUUUUGGGU
This 602-nucleotide ribosomal RNA is filed under the name Trichocerapis mirabilis. Its description in RNAcentral is "SSU rRNA". It matches the Rfam family "Eukaryotic small subunit ribosomal RNA", at positions 549 to 1112 of the family's 1831-position model. The record is from RNAcentral. Lineage: Eukaryota; Metazoa; Arthropoda; Insecta; Hymenoptera; Apidae.